RNAcentral lists this ribosomal RNA (703 nucleotides) under Flagellimonas lutimaris. RNAcentral's name for it is "bacterial SSU rRNA". It matches the Rfam family "Bacterial small subunit ribosomal RNA", at positions 398 to 1104 of the family's 1533-position model. Lineage: Bacteria; Pseudomonadati; Bacteroidota; Flavobacteriia; Flavobacteriales; Flavobacteriaceae. The record is from RNAcentral.
CGCGUGCAGGAUGACGGCCCUAUGGGUUGUAAACUGCUUUUAUACGGGAAGAAACGCACCUACGUGUAGGUGUCUGACGGUACCGUAAGAAUAAGGACCGGCUAACUCCGUGCCAGCAGCCGCGGUAAUACGGAGGGUCCGAGCGUUAUCCGGAAUCAUUGGGUUUAAAGGGUCCGUAGGCGGGCCUGUAAGUCAGGGGUGAAAGUUUGUGGCUCAACCAUAAAAUUGCCUUUGAUACUGCAGGUCUUGAGUCAUGGUGGGGUUGCCGGAACAUGUGGUGUAGCGGUGAAAUGCAUAGAUAUCACAUAGAACACCGAUCGCGAAGGCAGGUGACCAACCAUGUACUGACGCUGAUGGACGAAAGCGUGGGUAGCGAACGGGAUUAGAUACCCCGGUAGUCCACGCCGUAAACGAUGGAUACUAGCUGUGGGGACUUCGGUCUCCGUGGCCAAGCGAAAGUGAUAAGUAUCCCACCUGGGGAGUACGUUCGCAAGAAUGAAACUCAAAGGAAUUGACGGGGGCCCGCACAAGCGGUGGAGCAUGUGGUUUAAUUCGAUGAUACGCGAGGAACCUUACCAGGGCUUAAAUGCAGGCUGCAUGGGGUGGAGACACCCCUUUCUUCGGACUGCCUGCAAGGUGCUGCAUGGUUGUCGUCAGCUCGUGCCGUGAGGUGUCAGGUUAAGUCCUAUAACGAGCGCAACCC